This 466-nucleotide ribosomal RNA is filed under the name Prevotella nigrescens. Its description in RNAcentral is "bacterial SSU rRNA". It matches the Rfam family "Bacterial small subunit ribosomal RNA", at positions 28 to 480 of the family's 1533-position model. The record is from RNAcentral. Lineage: Bacteria; Pseudomonadati; Bacteroidota; Bacteroidia; Bacteroidales; Prevotellaceae.
GAUGAACGCUGGCUACAGGCUUAACACAUGCAAGUCGUGGGGAAACGGCAUUAUGUGCUUGCACAUUCUGGACGUCGACCGGCGCACGGGUGAGUAUCGCGUAUCCAACCUGCCCCCUACUUGGGGAUACCCCGUUGAAAGACGGCCUAAUACCCGAUGUGUUUCAUUGACGGCAUCCGAUAUGAAACAAAGGUUUUUCCGGUAAGGGAUGGGGAUGCGUCUGAUUAGCUUGUUGGCGGGGCAACGGCCCACCAAGGCGACGAUCAGUAGGGGUUCUGAGAGGAAGGUCCCCCACAUUGGAACUGAGACACGGUCCAAACUCCUACGGGAGGCAGCAGUGAGGAAUAUUGGUCAAUGGACGCAAGUCUGAACCAGCCAAGUAGCGUGCAGGAUGACGGCCCUAUGGGUUGUAAACUGCUUUUAUGUGGGAAUAAAGUGGCGCACGUGUGCGCCAUUGCAUGUACCU